Oreochromis niloticus (Nile tilapia) is the source of this 1056-nucleotide long non-coding RNA. RefSeq lists it as uncharacterized. The record is from RefSeq and is a predicted model, not a curated record. NCBI's taxonomy places the organism in Eukaryota, Metazoa, Chordata, Actinopteri, Cichliformes, Cichlidae. The transcript is spliced from 3 exons.
UGUAGAUGGCAACCUCAAGAUGAUGACAUGACCAAAAUUUAACCUGCAGUCAAACACCUAUUUGAGCUGGUGGUCACAGCAGAGAAUUCAAUGGGGAAAAUAGGUGGUGUCGGACUCUCAGGAAUAGCGAACUGUUGUAGUAAAAUCCUAUUAAGCUCCCAGAGCUUCUCUCUGCUUGCUCUCGUCUUUUCAUUUCUCUGUGACAUUAUAUAUAUUCAAGUUUGGAAAUAAAGCUUUAAUGUUAUGGCACCUCACUGCACCCGAGCUGCCUGCUCCAGGCUUUGUUUUCUCUCCGUCUCUCUCUCCUUUCUCUGUGCUUGUGUGUCUGUGUUCAUGGGCGGGACUCAUGGCGGGUCCCUGCCGCUGGCUGAACACACCUGCAGCAAUCAGCCACCUGUUCCAGAUGAUCUCAUCAGGAGGUUGUGGCUGAGUUUCAUUCUCUUCUGGAUUGUUGAACUCUCAUACCUUCCCUGGUUUUUCCCCUCCCUGGAGGACUUGGAGACUGCUUGAGAUGAGCGAGUGAGGAGAGUUUGGAUUGUUUGGAAGCCCCUUUUCCCUGUUUCCCCAUCACAACCUUUACUGUUAAAAAAAAAAUAAUCUCUGAACUUAAUUAAAAGUUCAUAAAAACUAAUGGUCUCCUUGAUUUCUAUAUCUGGAUGGUUGUGCUGCCCCCUCAAAUGUCAGUACCAGGAAAGGACAGAUGUGCUGGGUUGAGGCCAGGACUCUGUGCAGGCCAGUCAAGUUCUUCUUCACCAAACCUGCUCAUCGAUGUCUUCAUGGACCUUGUUUUGUGCAUUCGUGUAUUUGAACAGGAAGGGGCCAUCCCCAAAAUGUUCCCACAAAGUGUGGAGCAUGAAACUGUCUUGGCCCCUCAGUUCCCUUCAAUGGAACUAAGGGGCCAAGUCCAGCUAAUGAAAAACAACCCCACAACAUAAUCCCCCCUCGACCAAACUUUAAACUUUAUAACAUUCUCUUGGUAAAACCAGACUCAUCCAUCAGAUUGCCAGACAGAGUGGCCUGAUUCAUCAGUCCAGAGAACAUGUCUCCACUGCUCUA